Molecule: ribosomal RNA, 441 nt
Filed under: uncultured bacterium
Lineage: Bacteria
Description: partial 16S ribosomal RNA
Rfam family: Bacterial small subunit ribosomal RNA
Source: RNAcentral
CCUACGGGAGGCAGCAGUGGGGAAUUUUGCGCAAUGGGGGAAACCCUGACGCAGCGACGCCGCGUGAUCGAUGAAGCCCUUCGGGGUGUAAAGAUCUGUCAGUGGGGACGACACCUGCCGUUACCCACCGAUGCCGCACCGGCUAACUCCGUGCCAGCAGCCGCGGUCAUCCGGGGAGUGCAAGCGUUGUCCGGAAUAAUUGGGCGAAAAGAGUUCGUAGGUGGCACGUUAAGUCUGGUGUUAAAGCCGGAAGCUCAACGUACGUAGUGCACCUGAUACUGGCGAGCUUGAAUGCGGUAGAGGUAAAGGGAAUUCCUGGUGUAGCGGUGAAAGGCGUAGAUAUCAGGAGGAACAUCGGUGGCGUAAGCGCUGUACUGGGCCGUAAUUGACACUGAGGAACGAAAGCCGGGGUAGCAAAUGGGAUUAGAUACCCCUGUAGUC